GCUGGGCGCAGUGGCGCGGUGCCUGUAGUCCCAGCUACUCGGGAGGCUGAGGUGGGAGGAUCACUUGAGCCCAGGAGUUCUGGGCUGCAGUGCACUAUGCCGAUCGGGUGUCUGCACUAAGUUCGGCAUCAAUAUGGUGACCUCCUGGGAGCAGGGGACCACCAGGUUGCCUAAGGAGGGGUGAACCGGCCCAGGUUGGAAACGGAGCAGGUCAAAACUCCCGUGCUGAUCAGUAGUGGGAUCGCGCCUGUGAAUAGCCACUGCAAUCCAGCCUGGGCAACAUAGCAAGACCCCGUCUCU
RNAcentral lists this signal recognition particle RNA (300 nucleotides) under Saimiri boliviensis boliviensis (Bolivian squirrel monkey). Its description in RNAcentral is "Metazoan signal recognition particle RNA (ENSSBOG00000001102.1)". It matches the Rfam family "Metazoan signal recognition particle RNA". From Rfam's summary of the family: The signal recognition particle (SRP) is a universally conserved ribonucleoprotein. It is involved in the co-translational targeting of proteins to membranes. The record is from RNAcentral. Lineage: Eukaryota; Metazoa; Chordata; Mammalia; Primates; Cebidae.